GUUUGCACUUGUCGGGGAAGGGUGAGAACCUUCGAUUAAGGUUCGACUCGAGCGAAAGCGAGAGAACGUUGCCAACGACAACGGCCCGUAGGGUGAGGAGCGAAGCGACGAAUAAUCCUUCCCCCACCACCA
This 132-nucleotide small RNA is filed under the name Salmonella enterica. Its description in RNAcentral is "RtT sRNA". It matches the Rfam family "RtT RNA". Rfam says of the family: This family represents a bacterial cis-regulatory element known as RtT RNA. The exact function of RtT is unknown although it is thought that it may be involved in changing the cellular response in relation to amino acid starvation. Lineage: Bacteria; Pseudomonadati; Pseudomonadota; Gammaproteobacteria; Enterobacterales; Enterobacteriaceae. The record is from RNAcentral. RNAcentral also lists the same sequence under 1 other name.